This 253-nucleotide ribosomal RNA is filed under the name uncultured bacterium. RNAcentral describes it as "partial 16S ribosomal RNA". It matches the Rfam family "Bacterial small subunit ribosomal RNA", at positions 524 to 776 of the family's 1533-position model. The record is from RNAcentral.
UACGAAGGGGGCUAGCGUUGCUCGGAAUCACUGGGCGUAAAGCGCACGUAGGCGGCUUACUAAGUCAGGGGUGAAAUCCUGGAGCUCAACUCCAGAACUGCCUUUGAUACUGGUGAGCUUGAGUCCGGAAGAGGUGAGUGGAACUGCGAGUGUAGAGUUGAAAUUCGUAGAUAUUCGCAAGAACACCAGUGGCGAAGGCGGCUCACUGGUCCGGUACUGACGCUGAGGUGCGAAAGCGUGGGGAGCAAACAGG